UCCCCGGUAGCUCAGUGGUAGAGCAACCGGCUGUUAACCGGUUGGUCCCUCGUUCGAAUCCGGCCCGGGGAGCCA
This 75-nucleotide transfer RNA is filed under the name Mesorhizobium sp. M00.F.Ca.ET.149.01.1.1. Its description in RNAcentral is "tRNA-Asn". It matches the Rfam family "tRNA". Rfam says of the family: Transfer RNA (tRNA) molecules are approximately 80 nucleotides in length. Their secondary structure includes four short double-helical elements and three loops (D, anti-codon, and T loops). The record is from RNAcentral. Lineage: Bacteria; Pseudomonadati; Pseudomonadota; Alphaproteobacteria; Hyphomicrobiales; Phyllobacteriaceae.